RNAcentral lists this ribosomal RNA (492 nucleotides) under uncultured bacterium. Its description in RNAcentral is "partial 16S ribosomal RNA". It matches the Rfam family "Bacterial small subunit ribosomal RNA", at positions 29 to 507 of the family's 1533-position model. The record is from RNAcentral.
AGUGAACGCUGGCGGUAGGCCUAACACAUGCAAGUCGAACGGCAGCACAGUAAGAGCUUGCUCUUACGGGUGGCGAGUGGCGGACGGGUGCGGAAUACAUCGGAAUCUACUUUUUCGUGGGGGAUAACGUAGGGAAACUUACGCUCAUACCGCAUACGACCUACGGCUGAAAGCAGGGGAUCUUCGGACCUUGCGCGAUUGAAUGAGCCGAUGUCGGAUUAGCUAGUUGGCGGGGUAAAGGCCCACCAAGGCGACGAUCCGUAGCUGGCCGGAGAGGAUGAUCAGCCACACUGGAACUGAGACACGGUCCAGACUCCUACGGGAGGCAGCAGUGGGGAAUAUUGGACAAUGGGCGCAAGCCUGAUCCAGCCAUACCGCGUGGGUGAAGAAGGCCUUCGGGUUGUAAAGCCCUUUUGUUGGGAAAGAAAAGCAGCAGGUUAAUACCCCGCUGUUCUGACGGUACCCAAAGAAUAAGCACCGGCUAACUUCGUG